RNAcentral lists this ribosomal RNA (175 nucleotides) under uncultured bacterium. RNAcentral describes it as "partial 16S ribosomal RNA". It matches the Rfam family "Bacterial small subunit ribosomal RNA", at positions 337 to 508 of the family's 1533-position model. The record is from RNAcentral.
UCCUACGGGAGGCAGCAGUGAGGAAUAUUGGUCAAUGGGCGAGAGCCUGAACCAGCCAAGUAGCGUGCAGGAUGAAGGCCCUAUGGGUUAGUAAACUGCUUUUAUAAGGGAAUAAAGUGAGUCUCGUGAGACUUUUUGCAUGUACCUUAUGAAUAAGGACCGGCUAAUUCCGUGC